This 367-nucleotide ribosomal RNA is filed under the name uncultured bacterium. RNAcentral describes it as "bacterial SSU rRNA". It matches the Rfam family "Bacterial small subunit ribosomal RNA", at positions 527 to 896 of the family's 1533-position model. The record is from RNAcentral.
GUAGGGNGCAAGCGUUAUCCGGAAUUAUUGGGCGUAAAGAGCUCGUAGGCGGUUUGUCGCGUCUGCUGUGAAAACCCGAGGCUCAACCUCGGGCCUGCAGUGGGUACGGGCAGACUAGAGUGCGGUAGGGGAGAUUGGAAUUCCUGGUGUAGCGGUGGAAUGCGCAGAUAUCAGGAGGAACACCGAUGGCGAAGGCAGAUCUCUGGGCCGUAACUGACGCUGAGGAGCGAAAGCGUGGGGAGCGAACAGGAUUAGAUACCCUGGUAGUCCACACUGUAAACGAUGAUUACUCGAUGUUGGCGAUACACAGCCAGCGUCUUAGCGAAAGCGAUAAGUAAUCCACCUGGGGAGUACGCCGGCAACGGUG